GAUGAACGCUGGCGGCGUGCCUAAUACAUGCAAGUCGAGCGAACAGACGAGGAGCUUGCUCCUCUGACGUUAGCGGCGGACGGGUGAGUAACACGUGGAUAACCUACCUAUAAUACUGGGAUAACUUCGGGAAACCGGAGCUAAUACCGGAUAAUAUAUUGAACCGCAUGGUUCAAUAGUUAAAGACGGUUUUGCUUUCACUUAUAGAUGGAUCCUCGCCGCAUUAGCUAGUUGGUAAGGUAACGGCUUACCAAGGCAACGAUGCGUAGCCGACCUGAGAGGGUGAUCGGCCAAACUGGAACUGAGACACGGACCAGACUCCUACGGGAGGCAGCAGAAGGGAAUAUUCCGCAAUGGGCGAAAGCCUGACGGAGCAAAGCCGAGUGAGUGAUGAAGGUCUGCGGAUCGUAAAACUCUGUUAUGAGGGAAGAACAAAUGUGUAAGUAACUAUGCACGUCUUGACGGUACCUAAUCAGAAAGCCACGGCUAACUACGUG
This 497-nucleotide ribosomal RNA is filed under the name uncultured bacterium. RNAcentral describes it as "partial 16S ribosomal RNA". It matches the Rfam family "Bacterial small subunit ribosomal RNA", at positions 28 to 507 of the family's 1533-position model. The record is from RNAcentral.